CAGCAGCCGCGGUAAUACGAAGGGGGCUAGCGUUGCUCGGAAUGACUGGGCGUAAAGGGCGCGUAGGCGGCGAUCAAAGUCAGGCGUGAAAUUCCUGGGCUCAACCUGGGGACUGCAUUUGAGACGUGUUGGCUUGAGUGGAGAAGAGGGUCGUGGAAUUUCCAGUGUAGAGGUGAAAUUCGUAGAUAUUGGAAAGAACACCGGUGGCGAAGGCGGCGACCUGGUCUUUAACUGACGCUGAGGCGCGAAAGCGUGGGGAGCAAACAGGAUUAGAUACCCCUGUAGUCCCUGUCUCUUAUAA
Molecule: ribosomal RNA, 301 nt
Filed under: uncultured bacterium
Lineage: Bacteria
Description: partial 16S ribosomal RNA
Rfam family: Bacterial small subunit ribosomal RNA
Source: RNAcentral